This 119-nucleotide small RNA is filed under the name Salmonella enterica. RNAcentral describes it as "RtT sRNA". It matches the Rfam family "RtT RNA". From Rfam's summary of the family: This family represents a bacterial cis-regulatory element known as RtT RNA. Lineage: Bacteria; Pseudomonadati; Pseudomonadota; Gammaproteobacteria; Enterobacterales; Enterobacteriaceae. The record is from RNAcentral. RNAcentral also lists the same sequence under 1 other name.
GUAUCUGAAACCUGACGAGGAUGAGAACCUCCGGGGGCAAGAGAUUCGACCCGAGCGAAGCGAGAGAACGUUGCGUCAGCAACGGCCCGCAGUGGCAAGUCAUCCUCUGUCACCGGCAG